This 828-nucleotide long non-coding RNA is filed under the name Gossypium barbadense (sea-island cotton). RNAcentral describes it as "long non-coding RNA (GBAR_LNC021879)". The record is from RNAcentral. Lineage: Eukaryota; Viridiplantae; Streptophyta; Magnoliopsida; Malvales; Malvaceae.
GACAAGUUGACGUUGCCAUUAAAUGUUUAACAACGUUUGUAAUACACUAUUUUGCCCGGGUCUAAAAAGGCCCAAAUUACAAGCAAGCCUAUAUGGCCCAAAAUGAAAUAAAACAAGGACCCAAAUUGCAGUGGCCCAAAAUCAUCAGAAACCCUAGGGUUUCUAAUCUUCAGCCGCAGCAACCAUGCCCUCCGAAUCUCCACGUGCUCGUAUCUGCACAGCAAAAAAAGAAGCAAAGCAGCAUAUGGUAAGAAAAUAUUAAAAUCAAAUCAAGCAGAUACCAGAAGAUUUCUUUUUAUUUUUUCUUGUUUCACGAUUGCUAUAAAAGCAAUCUUAAGAUACUGUAAAUGUGGAUCGAAAAAUCAAUAAAAACGAAUAUUUCAUAACAAAAAGAGUAGAGAAUACAACGAGAUCAAAAAAAUCAAAUAUCGGAGGUUAACAUCUAUUUUCUUGCUUCGUUUCAAGAUUUUUCUUUCGUUUUUUAUUUUUUACAUGCGAAAAUAAAAUAAAAAGGGAAAAAGAAAACGACUCACCUUCGUUUGAGUCUGAAACGUCACUAAGACUGUAGAGGGAGCCACCCCCGAGGAUCGGUGGCCGGAAACCGAAAGGUUUCUUGCCUGCUUUGAGGAUUUUUGAUGGUAUUUUGGUGUUUUCGAGCCCGGAUUUGGGUUUAAAGGGGCCAGAAAAGCCGAAUAGGGGAUUUUCCCCUUUUCUGGCCACAGCAGACGGCGGUGCUGUCGUCGGAGGCUGGCGGCCGGCAUGGUGGCCGACAAUCGGCCGGUGCCCGGACCCUGGCCAGACGAUGAAGGAGGGGAGAGCUUUUUGAAA